Molecule: ribosomal RNA, 427 nt
Filed under: uncultured bacterium
Lineage: Bacteria
Description: partial 16S ribosomal RNA
Rfam family: Bacterial small subunit ribosomal RNA
Source: RNAcentral
UGGGGAAUAUUGCACAAUGGGCGCAAGCCUGAUGCAGCCAUGCCGCGUGUAUGAAGAAGGCCUUCGGGUUGUAAAGUACUUUCAGCGGGGAGGAAGGCGAUAAGGUUAAUAACCUUGUCGAUUGACGUUACCCGCAGAAGAAGCACAGGCUAACUCCGUGCCAGCAGCCGCGGUAAUACGGAGGGUGCAAGCGUUAAUCGGAAUUACUGGGCGUAAAGCGCACGCAGGCGGUCUGUCAAGUCGGAUGUGAAAUCCCCGGGGUCAACCUGGGAACUGCAUUCGAAACUGGCAGGCUAGAGUCUUGUAGAGGGGGGUAGAAUUCCAGGUGUAGCGGUGAAAUGCGUAGAGAUCUGGAGGAAUACCGGUGGCGAAGGCGGCCCCCUGGACAAAGACUGACGCUCAGGUGCGAAAGCGUGGGGAGCAAACA